AUCCCAUGAUGAGGACACUUACGCAGUAACUCCUUGAAUCGCUCCAAAGCCUUAUACAAAGACUCAUCAUCCAAUUGUUGGAAGGUUGUGAUCUCGUUCUAUAACACU
RNAcentral lists this small nucleolar RNA (108 nucleotides) under Gossypium barbadense (sea-island cotton). RNAcentral's name for it is "Plant small nucleolar RNA R71". It matches the Rfam family "Plant small nucleolar RNA R71". From Rfam's summary of the family: R71 is a member of the C/D box family of snoRNAs containing the C (UGAUGA) and D (CUGA) box motifs. Multiple nearly identical copies of this snoRNA have been identified in Arabidopsis, and it is thought to function as a 2'-O-ribose methylation guide for 18S ribosomal RNA. The record is from Rfam by way of RNAcentral. RNAcentral also lists the same sequence under 1 other name. Lineage: Eukaryota; Viridiplantae; Streptophyta; Magnoliopsida; Malvales; Malvaceae.